GGUUUAAUUCGAUGAUACGCGAGGAACCUUACCCGGGCUUGAAUUGCAGAGGAAGGAUUUGGAGACAAUGACGCCCCUCGGGGCCUCUGUGAAGGUGCUGCAUGGUUGUCGUCAGCUCGUGCCGUGAGGUGUCGGCUUAAGUGCCAUAACGAGCGCAACCCCUCUCCUUAGUUGCCAUCAGGUGAAGCUGGGCACUCUGGGGACACUGCCACCGUAAGGUGUGA
This 224-nucleotide ribosomal RNA is filed under the name uncultured bacterium. RNAcentral's name for it is "partial 16S ribosomal RNA". It matches the Rfam family "Bacterial small subunit ribosomal RNA", at positions 943 to 1167 of the family's 1533-position model. The record is from RNAcentral.